RNAcentral lists this transfer RNA (73 nucleotides) under Bos taurus (domestic cattle). It matches the Rfam family "tRNA". Rfam says of the family: Transfer RNA (tRNA) molecules are approximately 80 nucleotides in length. Lineage: Eukaryota; Metazoa; Chordata; Mammalia; Artiodactyla; Bovidae. RNAcentral also lists the same sequence under 4 other names. The record is from Rfam by way of RNAcentral.
UCCUUGGUAGUCCAGUGGUUAGGACUCUGUGCUUUCACUGCUGAGGUCCUGGGUUUGAUCCCUGGUCGGGAAA